RNAcentral lists this ribosomal RNA (468 nucleotides) under uncultured bacterium. RNAcentral's name for it is "partial 16S ribosomal RNA". It matches the Rfam family "Bacterial small subunit ribosomal RNA", at positions 28 to 507 of the family's 1533-position model. The record is from RNAcentral.
GACGAACGCUGGCGGCGUGCUUAACACAUGCAAGUCGAACGGACAGGCGCUGCUUUUGUGGGGUGCUUGAGUGGCGCACGCGUGAGUAACACGCGAGUAAACUGUCCUUGAAUUUGGGAUAACUUCUGGAAACUCGGGCUCAUACACGAUAGGAGCUCCUGAAGCAUGGGGGGGGAUGGUAAAUUUCGGUGGUUGGGGCUAGUCUCGCAGGUUACCCGCUACUUGGUGAGGUAGUGGCUUACCAAGGCUUUGACGGGUAGGCGGCCUGGGAGGGUAACCAGGCACAAUGGGACUGAGAUAGGGCGCAGACUGCAACGGUAGGCAGCAGUGGGGAAUAUUGCACAAUGGGCCGGAGCCUGAUGCAGCAACGCCGCGAGCGGGAUGACGGGCUUCGGGUGGAGAACCGCUUUCGCCGGUGACGAAGCGUGAGUGACGGUAAUGGGUAAAGAAGCACCGGCUAACUACGUG